GGCUAAAGCAUGGUGUAGUGGUUUGAGUGUCAGACUAGGAGUCUGGAGACCAGGGUUCAAAUCCCCUCUUAGCUA
Phrynosoma platyrhinos (Desert horned lizard) is the source of this 75-nucleotide non-coding RNA. The record is from the annotation of a GenBank genome assembly. Lineage: Eukaryota; Metazoa; Chordata; Lepidosauria; Squamata; Phrynosomatidae.